UGGGGAAUAUUGCACAAUGGGCGCAAGCCUGAUGCAGCCAUGCCGCGUGUAUGAAGAAGGCCUUCGGGUUGUAAAGUACUUUCAGUCGGGAGGAAGGUGGUAAGGUUAAUAACCUUAUCAAUUGACGUUACCGACAGAAGAAGCACCGGCUAACUCCGUGCCAGCAGCCGCGGUAAUACGGAGGGUGCAAGCGUUAAUCGGAAUUACUGGGCGUAAAGCGCACGCAGGCGGUUGAUUGAGUCAGAUGAGAAAUCCCCGGGCUUAACCCGGGAAUUGCAUCUGAUACUGGUCAGCUAGAGUCUUGUAGAGGGGGGUAGAAUUCCAUGUGUAGCGGUGAAAUGCGUAGAGAUGUGGAGGAAUACCGGUGGCGAAGGCGGCCCCCUGGACAAAGACUGACGCUCAGGUGCGAAAGCGUGGGGAGCAAACAGG
RNAcentral lists this ribosomal RNA (429 nucleotides) under Chloroflexota bacterium. RNAcentral describes it as "Chloroflexi bacterium partial 16S ribosomal RNA". It matches the Rfam family "Bacterial small subunit ribosomal RNA", at positions 355 to 776 of the family's 1533-position model. The record is from RNAcentral. Lineage: Bacteria; Bacillati; Chloroflexota.